GAUGAACGCUGGCGGCGUGCCUAAUACAUGCAAGUCGAGCGAACAGACGAGGAGCUUGCUCCUCUGACGUUAGCGGCGGACGGGUGAGUAGCACGUGGAUAACCUACCUAUAAGACUGGGAUAACUUCGGGAAACCGGAGCUAAUACCGGAUAAUAUAUUGAACCGCAUGGUUCAAUAGUGAAAGACGGUUUUGCUGUCACUUAUAGAUGGAUCCGCGCCGCAUUAGCUAGUUGGUAAGGUAACGGCUUACCAAGGCGACGAUGCGUAGCCGACCUGAGAGGGUGAUCGGCCACACUGGAACUGAGACACGGUCCAGACUCCUACGGGAGGCAGCAGUAGGGAAUCUUCCGCAAUGGGCGAAAGCCUGACGGAGCAACGCCGCGUGAGUGACGAAGGUCUUCGGAUCGUAAAACUCUGUUAUUAGGGAAGAACAAAUGUGUAAGUAACUAUGCACGUCUUGACGGUACCUAAUCAGAAAGCCACGGCUAACUACGUG
This 497-nucleotide ribosomal RNA is filed under the name uncultured bacterium. Its description in RNAcentral is "partial 16S ribosomal RNA". It matches the Rfam family "Bacterial small subunit ribosomal RNA", at positions 28 to 507 of the family's 1533-position model. The record is from RNAcentral.